CUGCUCUGCAAACAGCAGGGGAAAGCACUGGGAAACUGGCCUAGGUUGUAGCUUCUUGCUAAACCGACAUGAGGUGGCAGUAUUUCAAAAUUCUGCAAUUUUGAAUUUCAAAAUCCCUGCUGCAAGAGGACAGGCCUCCUCUGCAGGAGGCCACCUCAUUUCCCACCAGUGAAGGACCAACAGUACAAUGGCAGGCACAUGCUGAUGAUGGAAGCAAAGAUUUUUCUUCAAAAUUAUUUUGGGAGUGAGCUGUUACUUGGAAGCAGGGAGACAAGCUCGUGUUAGAAUAGCUGCUCCAAGAACAGUAACUCUGCCUGGAUGAAUUUAUAAUAGCCACUUUCACUGGUGCCAGGAAGACACUGAACUUCCAGUGAGUCAUUUUUCCACAGCCGUGAAUAGGCUAGGAUGAACUUCAGUGAACUUCUCUCACUUCAGAAUAAAGGGAGUUUGACACUCUGGUUCUACUGCAGCAGGACCAUGGCAAGAAGAGCUGUUUGCACGAUGGGGAAUUGCAAGGCCAGGAACACUGUGUUCAUGACCGUGUUACUGGAAGUGGCAGACAGACCACUUGGGCAGCUCACUACCUCCGUGUGAGCAGUUGUCAUGGAAGGAGAGGAGUGUGUGUGGCACUCAAAUGUACCGGCAGCUUUCAUCAGUGGAGCAGAAUGUUUGGCCCCCGAGGUUAUCACCUGCUGAUGUCUUUCUGGGAUUGCCCAGCUGUGAACUAUGGUAAACAUGAUAAAAUGAUGACAUAACAUCUGGGGCUAGGUCUUAUGGAAAACCAGCAUUUUUCCUCAUUCCUGUAGGAGACAGCAAAAGUGCAUGGUCCUUCUUCAUAUGAGCUACUGCAGUCUGAGAGCAUCAUCUUGAGCAGUCUCUGUCCUCACGGGGCAAUUGCCUUUCCUGGAAUGCUGCCGCUUACAUCCCACAGCACCAGCAUACACAUGCUGUAAAGAAACAAGGUAUGAAAAUAUUUUGAAAGCUGGCCAGGAACGAUGGCCAAGAGCUGUGGGGAGGAGAAAGCUUUGAACACUGCUGUAACUGAAGCAAGGUUUCCACCUUCUCAGAGGAAGGGGGUCUUGGAGCUGCCUGGUGAAGGGAACAGGCACUCAGUGGUGCACAGCAGCACUCGGCAAGCAGCCCUGCCCUGUUCCUCGCACCCAGUGGUUUCCAGAGCUGCCUUAUUAUCUCAUUUCAAGAGUAAAAUCUGAUUAGAUUUAAAAAACAAUCAGUAAAAUUGAAAACAUUCAGAUUUUCCAUGUGCAGGAGAGCAAACCCUUGGUUUCAAGUGUUACUAUAUGGAGAAUACAACUGCAGCUGGCUGGGAUUUCCCCUCCCACCAGGACAGGAGCAGGCUCUGGACCUUCCCUGGAGCUUGCCUGGGCACUGCUGCAGGAAGCCUGCAUUCAUGGACACAUUUUGUCCGCAGUGACCAUGAGGUUGGCAGUGACCCAUCACAACUCCUCAGCUGAAGGCUUUUGGCCAUGCUCUUGUGUUACUGAAGUCAGCAAGAACAAUGCAACCGAUUCAAGCAGGAACAGAAUUUGGCCUGACAGAAGCAAACAGAAAGGCUGAGACAAUGAGCCCUCUCAAUUGCUCAGAAAUAAUUUUCCAGCUGAUGAGCAUAAAACUGUAUUUACAGAAAAGGCCAAGCUGAUUUUCCAUAACUCUUUUGCAAGGCAGCCCUCUUUUCUCUGCUUGUCUUAUAAAAGCAGAGAAGCCAGAAUUCACAGCACUCUUAAUAUUAAAUAAAUCAACAGAUUGGAGGCAUCUUUCCAAAUAGACAACUGUGUUUAUUAGUACAAAAUACUAGUAAAAGCACUCUGUAAUGAAGAUUUCCUCAUUUCUUUGUUUUAUG
This is a long non-coding RNA of Passer domesticus (house sparrow), 1858 nucleotides long. RefSeq lists it as uncharacterized. The record is from RefSeq and is a predicted model, not a curated record. NCBI's taxonomy places the organism in Eukaryota, Metazoa, Chordata, Aves, Passeriformes, Passeridae. The transcript has 6 exons.